CUGAAGCAUUGCCACUAUUACAAUUGUGUAUACAAUAUUGGGGUGCAGUUUUGUUUUCAAAGGGAUAAAGCGAAUAGUUUUGUCUUAAAGUAUCAGAGUGUUCUAACAUGAAAUGAUCAUAAAGACAAGAGUAUUUACAGCAAAUUGCAGAAAGUUUGAAUGUAGUGAAUCUUAUUUGUCUUGGGCAAAUGAUCAUAAAAAAAGGAAUGAAAUACGUCAAAAUUUUGCAAAGUCGACUCAUUUUGAUGUGUUUAUUUAUAGCUUGUUAAUCCUUUACCGACAAAUAUUACCUUAAAGAUUAGAAUUUUUUCUCUACAUGAAAAUGACAAAUUAUCUUGACAGUAUUCCGUCAUCUCUAAGACAUAGAAAAUAUUACCUUCUGUACAAUGUACCCAGGUAGCAGAUGGUCUCUCUCACCAGAGUCACUUUCUGUGCUACGGAAAAACUUUUAUGUCCAUGAUCUGAAAAGAAAAAAGGAAGAAAUAACAAAAGUUCCCCACUCCUAAAAGAGCUAAGUUUCCUUCUAAUUGUUUCAUAUUCUAUGUUUAUUUAAAAUAAUGCCCUACCACUUUGAUACUGGUAGUCAAGUUAAUAUUCUCAGGACCUAGGAUCUUAUCUUAGUGAAAAGACCAAAGAUUUUUUGAUAAGUCUGUUGAUUUUGCCUUGUCAAGAUCAGACUCUGAACUUGUUAAACACAUGUGUAUUAAAUAUCUUUUACAUGUAGAAUUAGAUUUCAGCGGGUAUGCACACAGAUUUCUUCUUUUACUGUAUAUAAAGAGAGAUGCUAAAAGUAACUUAAUUUGGUUGAGGUAUACAUAUUUCUUCAUUACACCAACUAUCAUAAGAGUUGUAUGGGAAGAGUUUCUCAGAUCAAAAGAGAAGCUUAGCUUACCUCAGAUUAAUUUUAUGUAGGUAAAAUACAAUCAUUAGAAAAAUUUCAGCAAUUAUACAUUUUACAGAUUUGUCAAUCCCCUUGCUGUCCUUGGCAUGUUUUUCUCCUCAGGGGAAAUACUGAUUCUUAUAACCCAAUGAAGAAUUUCACUCUCCUCUGUUCUCACACUGUUGCUUACUCUAAUAAAUUAACCACAGCCAUUUGGACCUUUCAUCAACAGAUGCUUGAAAGUUUUCUUAUAAGCUACAGCUUUUACCAAGGAAGGAUAGUCUCAAUGCCUCAGUAAAAAGGACCUUCCAGGUGCUUUCAACUACUGAUAUUUCAAGAAAUAAACUCAUGGGAACAGGCUUUGAAGCUGGAGCAGGUAUCACUUAGAAAACUCUCAGAUUGUCCACCGGAAUUAAGUCAAGAUUCCCAGGAGCCUUUUUCAUUCAGAAGCAAACAACUUCACGAAAGCCAACUGCUGACCCGAAAACAAAGGAUCAAAAUAUAAUUUACACAAUACAGAACGAAUGGUGCUCACCAUUCCCCUCUACACGUCCAGAGCUUCAGGAACGAGUGACUUCAGGGGCCACGUGACAAACAUGCAAAGCAUCUAUCUACAAGGCAAGCUGGAAUGGUGGGGACAGUGACUGUGUGUCAGGCCUGAAAGUUUUAGAUUCAAGGACAAAACAAUCACUAACUGUCUGUGGGUUAUAUUUGAAUCUCAUCCACCUCUUUGUGAGGCCUCAGCUUGCACAGAAGAGCUUAAUUUCCUGAUUAGUAAAGGAAAAUUGUGAAUUAGAACCAUGUUACCCAGCAGGUCAAUGAGACAUUCUCAUUUCACCAAUGCCUGACUGAGUAUUUAUUGCAAAAUGAAGACUGUGUCACAAAGCAGAAAAUAAUUAACAUUUGUCUAGAGCUUAACAAGUUACAGAACAAUUUAUGCAUCAUCACAUUUAAUGUAAUAUAAUCAGAUUAUUUUACUUUUACUGCCAUUGUAUUGCUUUUAACUACUUCUACUAAUAGUGGAACUGCUACUGUUACUGCUACUAUCACUAUGAUUAUGACUACAACUACAGAAAGUUCCCUAUGUUCAUGUCAUAAUAUAGUCCUAAGACAUGUCAGAAAAUGGAAGUGGAAGUUAUAGGAAGGAAAUAAAUUUACUCAAAAUGUGUGAUGAACCUGCUAUCAUGACUCACUUUGUAGAUAUAAUCAUUGAUGCUAUUUAUCCACCAUUUAUAUAUCAGUCUUUAAUCCUGUCAUUUUCCUUCAAACUGAACUUGCAUCCAUCCAUUUUAGUCUGGUAUAUGUCCCAUGGAGGUUAAAGAGUCACCAUUUCAACCCAACUAAUCCUUCUAUCUGUGUCUCAGUUACAUUAUGUUUGAAACCAAUUCUUAUUUUCUUGUUAUCACUUUCUUAUUUAAAAAAAAGUGUUACAUGCAAAACACAAUAAAAUGUUCAGAAAAUUUCACAAACCCUACUAUACGAAAAGACGGUGAAAUACCCC
Molecule: long non-coding RNA, 2381 nt
Organism: Equus caballus (horse)
Lineage: Eukaryota; Metazoa; Chordata; Mammalia; Perissodactyla; Equidae
Source: Ensembl